This 744-nucleotide ribosomal RNA is filed under the name Salmonella enterica subsp. enterica serovar Bovismorbificans. RNAcentral describes it as "partial 23S ribosomal RNA". It matches the Rfam family "Bacterial large subunit ribosomal RNA", at positions 507 to 1251 of the family's 2925-position model. Lineage: Bacteria; Pseudomonadati; Pseudomonadota; Gammaproteobacteria; Enterobacterales; Enterobacteriaceae. The record is from RNAcentral.
GGGAAAGGCGAAAAGAACCCCGGCGAGGGGAGUGAAAAAGAACCUGAAACCGUGUACGUACAAGCAGUGGGAGCACCCUUUGGGGUGUGACUGCGUACCUUUUGUAUAAUGGGUCAGCGACUUAUAUUCUGUAGCAAGGUUAACCGAAUAGGGGAGCCGGAGGGAAACCGAGUCUUAAUUGGGCGUUAAGUUGCAGGGUAUAGACCCGAAACCCGGUGAUCUAGCCAUGGGCAGGUUGAAGGUUGGGUAACACUAACUGGAGGACCGAACCGACUAAUGUUGAAAAAUUAGCGGAUGACCUGUGGCUGGGGGUGAAAGGCCAAUCAAACCGGGAGAUAGCUGGUUCUCCCCGAAAGCUAUUUAGGUAGCGCCUCGUGAAUUCAUCUCCGGGGGUAGAGCACUGUUUCGGCUAGGGGGCCAUCCCGGCUUACCAACCCGAUGCAAACUGCGAAUACCGGAGAAUGUUAUCACGGGAGACACACGGCGGGUGCUAACGUCCGUCGUGAAGAGGGAAACAACCCAGACCGCCAGCUAAGGUCCCAAAGUCAUGGUUAAGUGGGAAACGAUGUGGGAAGGCCCAGACAGCCAGGAUGUUGGCUUAGAAGCAGCCAUCAUUUAAAGAAAGCGUAAUAGCUCACUGGUCGAGUCGGCCUGCGCGGAAGAUGUAACGGGGCUAAACCAUGCACCGAAGCUGCGGCAGCGACGUUUAUGCGUUGUUGGGUAGGGGAGCGUUCUGUAAGCCUG